RNAcentral lists this ribosomal RNA (259 nucleotides) under uncultured archaeon. RNAcentral's name for it is "partial 16S ribosomal RNA". It matches the Rfam family "Archaeal small subunit ribosomal RNA", at positions 748 to 1008 of the family's 1478-position model. The record is from RNAcentral.
AGGGUGUAAACGCUGCAGACUUGGUGUUGGGAACCCUUCGGGGUGCUCAGUGCCGGAGAGAAGUUGUUAAGUCUGCUACUUGGGAGUACGUCCGCAAGGAUGAAACUUAAAGGAAUUGGCGGGGGAGCACCGCAACGGGAGGAGCGUGCGGUUUAAUUGGAUUCAACGCCGAAAAACUCACCAGCAGCGACUGUUACAUGAAAGUCAGGUUGAUGACCUUACUAGAUUUUCAGAGAGGUGGUGCAUGGCGUCAGUGACU